UACGAAGGGGGCUAGCGUUGCUCGGAAUCACUGGGCGUAAAGGGUGCGUAGGCGGGUUUUUAAGUCAGAGGUGAAAUCCUGGAGCUCAACUCCAGAACUGCCUUCGAUACUGAGAGUCUCGAGUCCGAGAGAGGUGAGUGGAACUGCGAGUGUAGAGGUGAAAUUCGUAGAUAUUCGCAAGAACACCAGUGGCGAAGGCGGCUCACUGGCUCGGUACUGACGCUGAGGCACGAAAGCGUGGGGAGCAAACAGG
RNAcentral lists this ribosomal RNA (253 nucleotides) under uncultured bacterium. RNAcentral describes it as "partial 16S ribosomal RNA". It matches the Rfam family "Bacterial small subunit ribosomal RNA", at positions 524 to 776 of the family's 1533-position model. The record is from RNAcentral.